AACGAACGCUGGCGGCAUGCCUAACACAUGCAAGUCGAACGAGACCUUCGGGUCUAGUGGCGAACGGGUGCGUAACGCGUGGGAACCUGCCCUUAGGAUCGGAAUAACUCCCCGAAAGGGGUGCUAAUAACGGAUAAUGUCUUCGGACCAAAGAUUUAUCGGCUUUGGAUGGGCCCGCGUUGGAUUAGCUAGUGGGUAGGGUAAAAGCCUACCAAGGCGACGAUCCGUAGUUGGUCUGAGAGGAUGAUCAGCCAGACUGGGACUGGGACACGGCCCAGACUCCAGCGAGAAGUGGCAGUGAGUAAUAUAUGGCAGUGAGCGUGAGCCUGAGACAGCGAGGGCGGGUGAGUGGUGAAGGCGUUGUAGUUGUAUAGCGCUAUUACCCGAGAUGAUAGUGACAGUACCGGGAUAAGAAGCACCGGCUAACUCCGUG
RNAcentral lists this ribosomal RNA (433 nucleotides) under uncultured bacterium. RNAcentral's name for it is "partial 16S ribosomal RNA". It matches the Rfam family "Bacterial small subunit ribosomal RNA", at positions 29 to 507 of the family's 1533-position model. The record is from RNAcentral.